Electrophorus electricus (electric eel) is the source of this 85-nucleotide small nucleolar RNA. RefSeq annotates it as small nucleolar RNA SNORD11B. NCBI's taxonomy places the organism in Eukaryota, Metazoa, Chordata, Actinopteri, Gymnotiformes, Gymnotidae. The record is from RefSeq and is a predicted model, not a curated record.
GAUAAGCAUUGAUGAUGAUGACCUUGUGUCAAGACCCUGAAUACUUUGUGACGGUGUCUAAGUCACUACCUCAUCUGAGCUUGUG